This 506-nucleotide ribosomal RNA is filed under the name uncultured bacterium. Its description in RNAcentral is "partial 16S ribosomal RNA". It matches the Rfam family "Bacterial small subunit ribosomal RNA", at positions 28 to 523 of the family's 1533-position model. The record is from RNAcentral.
GAUGAACGCUAGCUACAGGCUUAACACAUGCAAGUCGAGGGGUAACGAGAGGAAAGCUUGCUUUCCUUGUCGACGACCGGCGCACGGGUGAGUAACGCGUAUCCAACCUGCCCCCAACUAGGGAAUAACCUUGCGAAAGUAAGACUAAUACCCUAUAAUUUCCUCAGAUGUCAUCUGACGAGGAAUAAAGAUUUAUCGGUUGUGGAUGGGGAUGCGUCUGAUUAGCUUGUUGGCGGGGUAACGGCCCACCAAGGCAACGAUCAGUAGGGGUUCUGAGAGGAAGGUCCCCCACAUUGGAACGGAUACACGGUCCAAACUCCUACGGGAGGCAGCAGUGAGGAAUAUUGGUCAAUGGGCGGAAGCCUGAACCAGCCAAGUAGCGUGCAGGAUGACGGCCCUAUGGGUUGUAAACUGCUUUUAUACAGGAAUAAAGUUAGCCACGUGUGGUUAUUUGUAGGUACUGUAUGAAUAAGGACCGGCUAAUUCCGUGCCAGCAGCCGCGGUAA